UGCCAGCAGCCGCGGUAAUACGGAGGGGGCUAGCGUUGUUCGGAAUUACUGGGUUUAAAGGGUACGUAGGCGGGACUUUAAGUCAGUGGUGAAAGCCUCCAGCUUAACUGGAGAAUUGUCAUUGAAACUGAUGUUCUUGAGUAUGGAUGAGGUGGUUGGAAUAUAACAUGUAGCGGUGAAAUGCAUAGAUAUGUUAUAGAACACCAAUUGCGAAGGCAGAUCACUAAACCAUUACUGACGCUGAGGUACGAAAGCGUGGGGAGCGAACAGGAUUAGAUA
RNAcentral lists this ribosomal RNA (279 nucleotides) under uncultured bacterium. Its description in RNAcentral is "partial 16S ribosomal RNA". It matches the Rfam family "Bacterial small subunit ribosomal RNA", at positions 506 to 784 of the family's 1533-position model. The record is from RNAcentral.